This 200-nucleotide unclassified non-coding RNA is filed under the name soil metagenome. RNAcentral's name for it is "partial contains internal transcribed spacer 2 and large subunit ribosomal RNA". The record is from RNAcentral.
UGGGGGUCUGCUGCCGUGAGGCGGCUCCCCUCAAAUGCAUCGGUUGGACCUGCGGGUCGAACUCGACUGGGCGUUGUACCAUCCUCGCUCGACCGAGAAGUUCCCCUUUUGGUGUCCUCCCACGACUCGCCUGUGGAGCGGCGGUCAAUGUACUUUGAAAUUCUGACCUCAAAUCAGGUAGGACUACCCGCUGAACUUAA